GGCAAGAUGGCCGAGCGGUCUAAGGCGCUGUGUUCAGGUUCGAUUAGAACUAGCAACGAUUCGCAGUCUCGAAAGGGGCCUGGGUUCGAAUCCCAGUCUUGUCA
This is a non-coding RNA of Fusarium oxysporum f. sp. cubense, 104 nucleotides long. NCBI's taxonomy places the organism in Eukaryota, Fungi, Ascomycota, Sordariomycetes, Hypocreales, Nectriaceae. The record is from Rfam.